AUUGAACGCUGGCGGCAUGCCUUACACAUGCAAGUCAAACGGUAACAGGUCUUCGGAUGCGGAUGAGUGGCGAACGGGUGAGUAAUACAUCGGAACGUGCCUAGUAGUGGGGGAUAACUACUCGAAAGAGUGGCUAAUACCGCAUGAGAUCUACGGAUGAAAGCAGGGGAUCGCAAGAACUUGUGCUACUAGAGCGGCCGAUGGCAGAUUAGGUAGUUGGUGGGGGAUAAGCUUACCAAGCCGACAAUCUGUAGCUGGUCGGAGAGGACGAUCAGCCACACUGGGACUGAGACACGGCCCAGACUCCUACGGGAGGCAGCAGUGGGGAAUUUUGGACAAUGGGCGCAAGCCUGAUCCAGCAAUGCCGCGUGCAGGAUGAAGGCCUUCGGGUUGUAAACUGCUUUUGUACGGAACGAAAAGCCCCGGGUUAAUACCCUGGGGUCAUGACGGUACCGUAAGAAUAAGCACCGGCUAACUACGUGCCAGCCGCCGCCGUAA
RNAcentral lists this ribosomal RNA (498 nucleotides) under uncultured bacterium. RNAcentral's name for it is "partial 16S ribosomal RNA". It matches the Rfam family "Bacterial small subunit ribosomal RNA", at positions 30 to 523 of the family's 1533-position model. The record is from RNAcentral.